AUUCGGUUCAGAACAGAACCGACCGAAUGCUCUCCCUAAACAAGAUAAAGCUUCCCCCUACUCCUAUCAAUUAAUUACAGCAUUCAGAUAAUCGAAACAUGUACUCCGUCCGCCCUUACCUACCUCGGCAAUAGAUAAUGACACGAGAUGAUUGUUAAAAAAAGACCAAAAGACAAAAGCCAUUCUGUACACGUACAAGCUUUUGGAAGGACAUAAAUCAGAAGAGACUACCCGUUCACAUUUACAGAUAUUAUAAGGGGAAAUUCCUCAGACAAAGAUACAGUUCGCCAAUUGAUUGCCCUCUCAGGACUUGAACCAGUGACAGCUCCACCAUGAACCAACUUUACAAACACUAUACCUACUGCAGAUGUUCCCAAAUAUGUACAUUUGAAACCCUUUCAGAAAAUUGACCAUCACAUAUACCUUAAUGCUAUUCUAACGUGCCUUCAUUUACAGUUCCAAUCGAACUUGUUGGUUCCAAUUCAUCUUCACUCUGGGCUAUCACAAAUCUUAUGUCUCCUGUCACAGCUCCUGGUGGCUCUGACGCCUAGUCACUCAAAUGGAUUAUGAUGACCAUCACAAGGUCAAUAGAUUGGUUUUCUCCACUUCGUAUUAUCCAAACAAAAACAAUCUGUCAGCUCAAAUCAAAACCAGCUUCCGCAUUUAUAGCGUAGAGCAAUUUUGUUUCCAGUUGCUGUUUGCUGUUACCGUAAACAUUUGAUAAGAAAAUUACUAAUGUCAGUAAAUGAAAGAGCAACUGCUUCAAAUUUAUGCAAGAAUACCUGAAAUGGUUAAUAUGGAUAAAAUGUUAAAAACUGGAUUAGAAAGAAGAUGAAAGAUGAAAUGCAUGGGAUUGUCAAUUCAAUGGCAUAUAUGCCUUAUCUGUACAGUAAAUUUCAGUCUAGAAAAUGGAAGUGCAGCGCCAAAUUUUGCUCUGAACAGCUGCAGGGUGAAACCAGUACUAGAAUCCUAGAAAUACCCUAGAGUUUCUCAAUCUUUUUUUCUUUGUAACAUCUAAUUGUAUGAAGCUCAACUGUUGCCUUUCCUAAAACGGCAGAAAUUUUAAAAUAAAAAUAUUACUUAACCAACAAACAGGGACAAACCUUCUAUAUGGUGGAAGCUUCAGAAGAUUCAUACAAGUAGCUGAUGUUGGUAAACGAUCAAGAGCUUCUUCAGAAGCACUGCCAGCAGCCCUCUGUAUGCAAAAUAAUGGCUCAAGGAAUUUAAAUCCAAGCAGUGGUCCUCGUGAGCAACCAGUAACAAACUUCAAAAAUUUCUUCUGUUUUUCCAAGGAAAAGCCUUUGAGAACUUCCCAGAACAUCUCAAUGACAUAAUGCUCACUGUGAUAACCUCCUGCAUAAUUGGCAUGAAGACGAAGGUCAUCAACAUCCAAGCUUUCAAGUGAACCUGAUAUCAAGAGCUGAAGUUCAUGUUCAUUGAACAUAUCAAUCCAAUCUUUCUGUAUGAGCUGCUGAAAGCCCCUCAAAAAAUGAGAACUUUGUUGGCGUAUCUGAAAAUUCAAACGAUGGUUGGAUACAAGAUGAAUAAAUGUAAUAACAUUCUCAUUAGUAACACGAUUGUUUCUUCCUCCAGGAAGCAGUUCUUCUUCUGUUUGCUCUCCAUACUCAUUAUUUACAAUGACAAAGUAGAGUUCCAAUUCAGAAAUGUCACCUUGAUAGUGCUUCAGGAAAAUAAGAUGGCGAUAUAAUUCUGGGUCCAAGGAAGGCAGGUCAUUCAGAUAGUUGAACUUUUGUUUUAAUUUGCUCAAGAAGAAUGUUGCGAAUGGUAUAUCAACAAGAAUACCUUCAAACAUAGCCUUUGCAAGAAGAGUUCCAAGAAAAUGGAAAAACUGAAGAUGCUGUUCAUGUAUCAUUCCUGAACCCGGAUUAGGAUACAGUAGGUGAUCUGCUGUUUCCUUAAAUAAUCCAUACUGCACAUCGAAUGCUGCUCGAGUAAUGUUCUCCAUGAAAUCUUUAAAAAUUCCACCGCCAUCAAUGCCAGCCUCCUCAACUCCAAACUCAUUGACAAAUGCCACACGAAUCAAUCCUCGAAGAUCUUCUUCAGACAAAGCACUCAUCUGAUUAUAAGCAUCUUCCAGAAUAUGAUCCCGUCGAAUUCUGAAUCUGUUCCUUGUAAAAACACCAUGGGCCCCAUUUCUUUGCCUGGCUGCCAAUAAUUGCGAAUUGAAUAUUUUAACCCUGCUUGUAAAAGGUACCAAAAAUGGAGCUCGCUUCAUUAUGUCAUUUGCUUUCGUCCCAUCUAGUACAGCCUGGGAAAUGAAGAAAUCAUCAACACCAUCAGCAUGGAAGUCACUGGGUGGAGUAAAUUGUCGUCUGUUGUUCCAAUCUUGCAACUGAGAGAGGAGUUCAGAAGCUACGACGCUAACUCUGUGUUUAAUAGAUUCAACAGGGUUCCGCCUAUAAGCAGAAGUGUUCAUCAUCUGUUUCACUGCAUUGUUGUGUGCCAUAGGAUUCACCCAUAGGAGCUGCCAUAAGGCCUGUCUCAGAAUAAUAAUUAGGCAUCUGAUAUCUUUUAAUGAUAGUGGCUUCUCCUGUUCAUAGAACUCCUCAUUAUCAACAAUCAUAAGCAUGUGCCUGUAGAACAAUGAUAAGAGUAAGAAAUAUCCACUUCCAUGAAAUGUAAGAGAAUGAGAAUGAGGGGGAGAUUAGACUAAUUCAUGGGCCCAGAGGGACCUGGUUGGCCUGAAAAAAAUGUGAGGCUUGAGCAGGGGUCCCCAACCCAAUAGAGGCCCACUCAAAGAUGGGCUGGGUUUGAAAUUUAAGUUAAUAUCAUACCUGAUUAACAAAAUAUUAAUAUUUUUAUUGCAUGGGCCAGGCCCAACAAUUCUAAAAUAAUGUCAACCCUACUUGGGUCCAGAAAAGCUACAUGACAGUAACAUUGAAAAGGAAUAUGUAAAUGAAACCAAAAAAUAGAAAAACAAUUCAAAUACCAACAUCAGAAGAAACUAAAACAACCAAAAUUACACAAUCAUACUUGUAUACAGGACAAAAAACAGCCAGAGGCAGUAACCAGCCAGGCGCAUCAGCUGGAAGAUGAGAUAACUGCUCAGGCAAGGAUGACCAUUUCUGCUUUUCAUGACACAGCUUCAUAAAAUUCCAAAGCACUCGAACUAGAUCAGUUCUAUAAGCUAGUACAGUCAUGAUUCUUUCAAGCGGUAAGGUAUUGAAAGUGACAUGAAGAAAAGCACAUGCAGCACCAACGGCUGUAACCUCUUUUUCAUCCAGGCCAUAAUGAGAACCACUGAGGAGUGAAAUUCCUCCAAACAAAACAUUUGUCAACUGUAAAAGAAAGCGUGAAUCUAUAGCAUUGGUUAUUUGUUGUUCCAAAUCUCUAUUCAAAACUAUUUCCAUCUCAUCAGGCUGAGUGGCAUCUUCCUCACCCAGUGUAGAACUUUCUUUAGUUUCCCGACUUGAUGAUUUUAUGGGAGGAAUUGUCCCCAACAAGAAUUUUGUAACUGCUGCAAGGUCUAUGGCCAUCUCAAAUGAACAAUCAGGCUGAGACAAAGAAACUCCUGCAGUUUCUAACAUGUUUCCAAGAAGACAGGCAUAACCAGGAUAUUUUGCUGAAACAUCAUUGGGAAGUACAUUAGCAUGGCCCUGCACACAUAGUGCCAUCUGAUGAAUGUAAUGUUGGCUCAGCCCCCAAGUUGCAAAAACCUCUUUUAAGCUUGGAAAAAGCUGCCACAAGAAAGGAAUUGUCAGCAUCUGAGAGGAGAAACUACAUUGCGGAUCAGUAUGUGGGCAAAUACAUGGCUUCUGACCAACAUGAGAAAUUAUCAUAGAGAGCAUGCGCUCCAAUGAAGGAGCUUUUCCAACACAAUUGUUAGGCCUUCUAUUUUCCUUCCCCACAAGAACAAUUUCUCUAAAUAGAGUGAAGGCAUUUCUUUGCAAUAGAUAACCAACAAUCUUACAUGCCCAUGGAAGCUUUUGAUCUAUCAAAAAAACUACAACUUCCAACAAGAGAACUGCUGGUUCACUAGAUUCCCAGGGUGUCAUCAAUAGUUGAUCCUUCAACUGUUCUCUAUUAUGAUAUACAGCCUGAAUACAACAGAACGCAAGUUGUUUCACCCUAUAGUCCACCAAAGCAUGAGUGGUUACAUAAUCCACACCACCAAACAGACUAAUGAUAUCCCCAUUGUCUCGAAAGAGUUGCAAAAGCAAUCGGCAGGUCUCCGUAAGGACAGUAAAAUCACCAUUGUUUUGUGCAUUGAAGAAAAACAACAGAUCACGUAGGAACCCUGAAUCUGGACCAAAAGAAUGCCUGUCUAUAUUUAGGCAAUGCUUCCCAUAGGUUCCAUAGAAUUGAUCUCGCACCUUAUGAUGCUCAGCUUCCACUGCCUUUCUCCCUCUAAAGCAUUUCUGAAUUUUGAUUGCAGCAGCAUUCUGUUGCCGCAACCACAACCGGCGGUUUCGCUCCAAUCUAGUUUGCUCCAGAAGUUUCUGUCUGUCUCUCUCCUUCGAGCUCCGGCCUCCCAAAUCAACUCGCUUCCGAGUAGUUGGAUCACCGGUGAAAAACAUCUUCUCAGGGUUGACUCAACCAACUCACGCCCUGAUUCCUAGAAAAUUAAAAUGAACCACACCGUGUAAUUUGGAGCUUUAAGAAUCGAUCAAAGUUUUUGGAGGGUGGAGGCAAGGCCCGAGUUGAGCAAUUUGGGUAUAAUCGGAGAAAAUGAAGGGAACAGUGAAGUGAAAAAAUCAGAAAAUAAAAUAGCGGAGAAGGUUUUUGUUGUAAAGGAGGAAGAGAGAAUGGAAAAAUUAAUGUUUGGAUUUAGGAAAGGAGCAGGAGAGCUGCAGAAGAGGUGGAGUUCAUGAAUUUUUUGUCACGCUUUUCUCUCGCCUUUCCUUGGCAGAGUGAAGACUAGAAAAAGUUAAUAGAUCAAAUAAGAAAAAGACUGUGAU
Molecule: unclassified non-coding RNA, 4919 nt
Filed under: Hevea brasiliensis (rubber tree)
Lineage: Eukaryota; Viridiplantae; Streptophyta; Magnoliopsida; Malpighiales; Euphorbiaceae
Source: RNAcentral